RNAcentral lists this long non-coding RNA (622 nucleotides) under Daphnia magna. RNAcentral describes it as "uncharacterized LOC123466771, transcript variant X2". Lineage: Eukaryota; Metazoa; Arthropoda; Branchiopoda; Diplostraca; Daphniidae. The record is from RNAcentral.
CUUCAACGGUGGUCUAGACCACCCUUGAGCUCUAGCUCAACCGCGUAGAGCUAUAUCUUCUGUUUUUGUUUGUAAUUAUAUAAUACGGCAACACUGUUUCAAAGCAGACACUUGUAAACUAAAAUUUUUUUUUCAAAAGAUAUGACUUUUUUUUGAAUUUGUAUCGUAAUGGAAAAUAUAAUUGUAGAAAGUGAUAGUGAAACAAAAAAAGAAUGUUGGAAUGGUAAAAAAACUGCCACACAAAUUGCAAUCGAUUGUGAGGCUACAGAAGUGUUUUUGGGAUUGUUGAAAAAAAUUGGGAAACAUUGAAUGAUUCCAAGACAAGUAAAAGGCAAAUUUGGCAUGAAAUUUGCAGUAACUUGGAAGAAGCAGGAUUUUGUAUUCGUGGAGUUGACAAAAUCCAGACAUGUAAAAACAAGUGGGAAAACCUACGCAAGGAUUAUAGAAAUUAUAUAUCCAAAUUUCAGCAAACAGGAAGCGGUGCAAAUGAUACCCAAAAGAAGCCAAAGUUCUUUGAUUCCAUCGAAGCAGUAAUAGGCUCCAGCAAUCAUUCCUUUCGACCUCCUUAUGUGAGUGAUUCACUAUACCACAAUCCUCACAAGUUCAAAGUUGGUGAGAUCGG